RNAcentral lists this ribosomal RNA (496 nucleotides) under uncultured bacterium. RNAcentral describes it as "partial 16S ribosomal RNA". It matches the Rfam family "Bacterial small subunit ribosomal RNA", at positions 28 to 506 of the family's 1533-position model. The record is from RNAcentral.
GAUGAACGCUGGCGGCGUGCCUAAUACAUGCAAGUCGAGCGAACAGAUAAUGAGCUUUCUCCUUUUACGUGAGCGGCGGACGGGUGAGUAAAACAUGGGGAACCUAACUAUAUGACUGGAAUAACUCCGUGAGACCGGGGCUCAUGCAGGGUAACAUAUUGAACCGCAUGGUUCUACAGUGAAAGGCGGCGUUUCUGUCACUUAUAGAUGGACCCGCGCCGUAUUAGCUAGUUGGUGAGGUAACGGCUAACAAAGGCAACGAUACGUAGCCGACCUGAGAGGGGGAUCGGCAAAACUGGACCUGAGACCGGGCCCAGACUCCUACGGGAGGAAGCAGUAGGGAAUCUUCCGAAAUGAGGGAAGGCUUGAGGGAGAAACGCCGCGGGAGUGAGGAAGGCCUUCGAAUGGUAAAACCCUGUUAUUAGGGAAGAACAAAUGCGUAAGUACCGGUGCGGGUCUUGACGGUACCAAAUAAGAAAGCACCGCCUACCUCCGU